RNAcentral lists this ribosomal RNA (465 nucleotides) under uncultured bacterium. RNAcentral's name for it is "partial 16S ribosomal RNA". It matches the Rfam family "Bacterial small subunit ribosomal RNA", at positions 28 to 507 of the family's 1533-position model. The record is from RNAcentral.
GACGAACGCUGGCGGCGGGCUUAACACAUGCAAGUCGAACGGAAAGGCAGUGAUUGCAGGGUACUCGAGGGGGGAACGGGUGAGUAAGACGGGGGUGAUCUGGACUGCACUUCGGGAUAAGGGAGGGAAAAGGGGAAUAAAAGCGGAUAGGAGACAGUUUUAGUGGGAGGGAGGGAAAGAUUUUUCGGUGUAGGAUGAGCUAGCGGCCUAACAGCGUGUUGGGGGGGUAAUGGCCUAACAAGGCGGCGACGGGUAGCCGGCCUGAGAGGGUGGACGGCCCCCUUGGCACCUAGCUACGGCCCCGCCUCCUACGGGUGGCAGCAGUGCGGAAUAUUGCUCAAUCGGCGCCUUCCUGGUGCAGCCACGCCCCGUGUUGUAUGACGUCCUUCGGGUUGUAAACUCCUUUCGCUUGGGACGCAGCUUUUUGUGACGGUACCUAGAUAAGAAGCACCGGCUAACUACGUG